UACAGAGGUCCCGAGCGUUGUUCGGAUUUAUUAGGCGUAAAGGGUGCGUAGGCGGCGGAGUAAGUUGGGUGUGAAAUCCCGAGGCUCAACCUCGGGUCUGCAGUCGAUACGGGCAGACUAGAGGUAUGCAGGGGAGAACGGAAUUCCUGGUGUAGCGGUGAAAUGCGCAGAUAUCAGGAGGAACACCGGUGGCGAAGGCGGUUCUCUGGGCAUGACCUGACGCUGAGGAGCGAAAGUGUGGGGAGCGAACAGG
Molecule: ribosomal RNA, 253 nt
Filed under: uncultured bacterium
Lineage: Bacteria
Description: partial 16S ribosomal RNA
Rfam family: Bacterial small subunit ribosomal RNA
Source: RNAcentral